RNAcentral lists this ribosomal RNA (533 nucleotides) under uncultured bacterium. Its description in RNAcentral is "bacterial SSU rRNA". It matches the Rfam family "Bacterial small subunit ribosomal RNA", at positions 355 to 896 of the family's 1533-position model. The record is from RNAcentral.
UGGGGAAUAUUGCGCAAUGGGCGAAAGCCUGACGCAGCAACGCCGCGUGAGGGAUGAAGGUUCUAGGAUUGUAAACCUCUUUGAUCAGGGAAGAAGCCGCAAGGUGACGGUACCUGAAGAACAAGCCCCGGCUAACUACGUGCCAGCAGCCGCGGUAAUACGUAGGGGGCAAGCGUUGUCCGGAAUCAUUGGGCGUAAAGAGCGCGUAGGCGGUCUGACAAGUUUGGUGUGAAAUCUCGAGGCCUAACCUCGAGCGUGCAUCGAAAACUGUCAGACUAGAGUUCGGCAGGGGAAACUGGAAUUCCAAGUGUAGCGGUGAAAUGCGCAGAUAUUUGGAAGAACACCGGUGGCGAAGGCGGGUUUCUGGACCGCAACUGACGCUGAGGCGCGAAAGCUAGGGGAGCAAACAGGAUUAGAUACCCUGGUAGUCCUAGCCGUAAACGAUGGGCACUAGGUGUGGGGAGUUAUCGACGCUCUCCGUGCCGUCGCUAACGCAUUAAGUGCCCCGCCUGGGGAGUACGGCCGCAAGGCUA